Molecule: long non-coding RNA, 957 nt
Filed under: Olea europaea subsp. europaea
Lineage: Eukaryota; Viridiplantae; Streptophyta; Magnoliopsida; Lamiales; Oleaceae
Source: RNAcentral
UCAACGUUUUUUUUUUUUUUUUUUUUUGAACAUGUGUAUGGCAACAAGCUUUACGCUACGAAAGCCAAUUUCGGUGGCAAAGAGAGGAAUAUCUCGGUCGACUGUAGAAUCGGUAACGACUCUAGGUUAUAUAUUUCAGUCGAUAACAAAAGGGUUCUGCAGAUCAAGCAUUUGAAAUGGAAGUUCAGAGGCAAUGAGAGAAUUGAAGUUGAGGGAGUGAAUGUACUGGUUUCAUGGGAUGUAUACAACUGGUUGUUUGAAGAAGAUCGAGAACAUGGCUAUGCAUUAUUCACAUUCAGAUUUGAAGAUGAUGAAGAUUUCAACAACAAUAAUAUGGGGAAUGUGAUUUGGUCCCAACAGUCGUUUGGAUUUGGAUUUGAAACCAAGAAAAUGAAGAAGGGUUUGUUGAGAUCGGCUGGGAGUUCAUCAUCUUCGUCAUUGUCAUCAGUUUCUUCAAGUUGCAGCUCUGUUAUGGAAUGGGCAAGUAAGGAAGAGAAUGAAUUGAAGGUUCCCUCUGGAUUUUCUUUGCUGAUUUAUGCUUGGAAAAGCUGAAGAUUUUUUUCUUUAUUUUUCAUUUUUCACUAACCCAUUUGUUCAUGAACAUAAUGAAAUCAAUAAAAAAGAUUUAUCAGAAUUUCAAGAACUGAUAGCUUAUAUAGAUCUAACAUACAUGUGUUGAUUCACUUUCCCUGUUUGUUUCUGGCUUUCUGUAGUGUACCAAAGUUGUAACAGUAAACCGAUUGAUGAAGAAAAAAUUGUCAUUUUUAAUUAGUUUAAUUGAUUUACAAUAGCAUUUAUUUCCAGGUUUGAGUUUGAAUUUCUCCAACAUUGUCUUGUUAAUGGACUGCACGAACGUGCAUUGAACAUCAAUGUCUCUUUAUCGUACACAACUAUUUAUGUAAAAAUAGCAUCUUCUCUUGUAAUAAAUUUUCUCCACCCGUUGGAAUUUAAGGUGCC